Long non-coding RNA from Otolemur garnettii (small-eared galago), 2255 nucleotides. RefSeq lists it as uncharacterized. The transcript has 3 exons. The record is from RefSeq and is a predicted model, not a curated record. Lineage: Eukaryota; Metazoa; Chordata; Mammalia; Primates; Galagidae.
CACAGUUCUCCAGGGUCAGCACAAGUAGGAAACCAUUGGCUCCUAGGUCUGAAGGAGAAGGGUGAGUUUCAAAAUCUGUGAAGAGUAAAUGAAUGGAGGAGGUGGCCUGCCAGGACUGUGGCCGUGGGCAAAGGCAGACAGCAUCCCAGCAGGAAGGAGCAGGAAAACAAACACCCAAUCUUCAUUUUCUUCUCUGUUUUGAUCUCCUACAGAUAUCUCUCACCAGACAGCACUCAGGAGUAGGGCUUGAGUUCCAACUGGAAGCCAGUUGGUGGCCAAAGAGCUGACCAGUGGCAAGCGUGUGAUUUAUGGAGUAAGAGGCAGUGGUGAGAUUCAUGCCCUGGGCUAUAGACAUGGAAAACCAACAAGGAAGAAUAAUAAUAAACGAAAGUGAAAGUGAGCAGCAAGGCAGGACCAAGAAAGUGGGGUGGGGAGCAAGCUGUGCCAUAUUUAGAUCCCGAUAAGGUUGCUCCUUGAGCCCCAGAAUGUUCUCUGCUGGGCAGAGCCAAAGGCAGUUGGUUCAGCUUGGAAGAACUUUUGGGAGCAACGUGGCCUAAAAUCUGUUGUGCUGGCCCUCAACUUCUUUAUGUUUCGAGUGUUGUCCUAGACCAGAGGUCAGGGUCUAUUGGUCCCUUCAAGGGACAAAUAGUAAGUAUUAUAAAUUUUGUGGCAGUUCUAUUACACUGUCAUCAGAGCAGGACAGCAGCACAGACUACAUGUGAAUGAGUGAUGUGACUGUGUCCUAAUAUAAGUUUAUAUAUGGAAACAGGCAGCAGGCUGGCGGGCCAUCGUUGGCCAACUCCUGCUUAAGAAUUUUUUUUCCUCUUUUUGCCUUCUGAUGGAUUUUUGAUCUAUCUGUUCUUGAAUGAACCCUUCUGCCAGGCCUGGCACCUAACAAAUAAACAAUCUGGACCUCUUUCAGAGUACCGGGAAUGAAUGAGUCAGUAGAUUCUGCUAUAAUUCCUGUAGGUGUCUAACAAUGAAUACAUGUGUAGCUGACUAACUAUUAACGAGAGAUAUACAGCAGGAAUUUCCAGCUCCAACAUUUGAUCACAAGUAUUUUCCCGAAAAUAUGUAAGGUUAAAGGAAAGUUUUCCUUUCAUGCCAGGAACAUAUUCUAGUCUGAUGAAAUGAAGUCUGAGCUUUAAAAUCAGUUUCCAGCUGUUUGGUUUGCUGGGCGUUUUCUCUCCUGUCAAACACAGAUCAGCCUCCUAGGUAAUGACAGCUAUUACCAUGACAAGGGCUAACAAAAAUACACGCACACUUGAAACUUUUUCUUUCUCUUGCUUUGUUCUAUUGUCCUCUUGAAAACAAUCGGUUCUUCAAGUCUGUUCCCAAACUGCAGGCUUUUCAUUUGAGUUCUCUAAAUGCUCCUUGAGGAAAACCAAAAUAAAUUCCAGACAAUUUACGUAUUCACCGGGACUCUGAUUGCAAGCAACAGAAACUGAAUUCAAACUAAGUUGGUGACAAACCCAGGAUGGGGAGAAGCCCCUUUAAGGAGGGGACGAAGUAUACCCCAUUGGACACAGCUAAAUGGACCUGUCUUCUGGCGAGAUGAAAGAAACUGGGACACCUCUCUGACCGACCCUGCCUAAACAUCCAUUUAUUGCUGCAGAGGUCUGGCUGCCUGGGUCUUUCUGAAGAUCUGAUGUGAACACUCUCAGAAUGCGGCUGAAAUUCCCUCCUGGGCCUAGUUGCAAAAGACCAGUGACCCCUGGAAAAUCAGAAUGCCUCCUGGACACCGUCCUGGAAAACUGAACUCUAGGUAUUUUUGCUUAUAGAAGGUAAGCCGAUAUUUUAUUUUUUCUAACAAACACGGGAACACCUUCAUCCACACUGCCACCUUGUGAAAAUCCUCUAAAAAACGGGCAGAGAUCUUGGUAAGGAGUUUUAGAUGGCCUCUCAGGAUUGCUGGUGGCCCUGGCAACUCCAACUGGUUCCCGAUGCCUCUCACUGCCCAUCUUCCUCUUUGGUUAUUAUCUCAUAAGGUCACUAAUUAUGAUUUUUUUCUCAUUCUCAGUUUUGAACUAGUAACCCUUUGCCUCGUAUCUUCAUUAUUAACCAGACAGUCACCCGAAAACAACUCCUCAUAUCCUCACCUUACUGGAUACCAACCAGCUCAGACUAAAAAAGCCAAAGAGUUCCUGUAGGCGCCACUCCCCUCCCCCAUUCCCCGUCCUCCUCCCACGCAGCCCCUCCCCCCACGGGAAAUAGUCAAGGAGAUACCACGCCCACCAUCCCAUCUCCUUAUAAUA